AGGGCGCAAGCGUUGUCCGGAAUUAUUGGGCGUAAAGAGCUCGUAGGCGGUUUGUCGCGUCUGCUGUGAAAACGCAAGGCUUAACCUUGCGCCUGCAGUGGGUACGGGCAGACUAGAGUGCAGUAGGGGAGACUGGAAUUCCUGGUGUAGCGGUGGAAUGCGCAGAUAUCAGGAGGAACACCGAUGGCGAAGGCAGGUCUCUGGGCUGUUACUGACGCUGAUGAGCGAAAGCAUGGGGAGCGA
Molecule: ribosomal RNA, 243 nt
Filed under: uncultured bacterium
Lineage: Bacteria
Description: partial 16S ribosomal RNA
Rfam family: Bacterial small subunit ribosomal RNA
Source: RNAcentral